Bombina bombina (fire-bellied toad) is the source of this 505-nucleotide long non-coding RNA. RefSeq lists it as uncharacterized. The record is from RefSeq and is a predicted model, not a curated record. NCBI's taxonomy places the organism in Eukaryota, Metazoa, Chordata, Amphibia, Anura, Bombinatoridae. The transcript has 4 exons.
CGAACACUAUGUUGACUUGUUAAUAGUUUGGGAAGAAUAAAGGAGUUGCACUAACAGGCACCUUUUGUCUGUUUUGUUUUCAACAGAGUGAGAAGUGAAUUGGAGAUUUGUAAGAAGAGCUGCCUAUGCUAUCAUAUGCUGCCCAAAAAAAAAAAUUAUGGCAGAGUCUGCUGCAGAGCCUGUGACAGUGGAAAAAAGUGUGCAACCCAAGUCCUCUAAAGCAUGGGAGCAUUUUACGCUUAAUGCCGCAAAGAAGGUGGUCACCUGCAGAAUUUGCAAGGCAGAGCUUAUGUGGCACGGAAGCACCGCAGUGAUGAAUGAACACAUGAAAAGAAAACACGUGGGUUUCACUGAGGAAGGCGAGACAUCAGGACAAUACAGUUCCCAGGAUUCGAACCAAGUUAAAUAUUCUACAUGAUCCCACUUACGGAAAGCUACUGGACUAUAAUGGACAACAACGUGGAGAGGCCCAGAUCUCGGCCUAGGGGCUUUCCGGAAAGUAAAG